RNAcentral lists this ribosomal RNA (435 nucleotides) under uncultured bacterium. RNAcentral's name for it is "bacterial SSU rRNA". It matches the Rfam family "Bacterial small subunit ribosomal RNA", at positions 352 to 804 of the family's 1533-position model. The record is from RNAcentral.
CAGUGGGGAAUCUUGCGCAAUGGGCGAAAGCCUGACGCAGCCAUGCCGCGUGAAUGAUGAAGGUCUUAGGAUUGUAAAAUUCUUUCACCGGUGACGAUAAUGACGGUACCGUGAGAAGAAGCCCCGGCUAACUUCGUGCCAGCAGCCGCGGUAAUACGAAGGGGGCUAGCGUUGCUCGGAAUUACUGGGCGUAAAGCGAGCGUAGGCGGACUUUUAAGUCAGAGGUGAAAUCCCGGGGCUCAACCUCGGAAUUGCCUUUGAUACUGGGUGUCUUGAGUGUGAGAGAGGUAUGUGGAACUCCGAGUGUAGAGGUGAAAUUCGUAGAUAUUCGGAAGAACACCAGUGGCGAAGGCGACAUACUGGCUCAUUACUGACGCUGAGGCUCGAAAGCGUGGGGAGCAAACAGGAUUAGAUACCCUGGUAGUCCACGCCGUA